RNAcentral lists this non-coding RNA (192 nucleotides) under Bacterioplanes sanyensis. The record is from RNAcentral. Lineage: Bacteria; Pseudomonadati; Pseudomonadota; Gammaproteobacteria; Oceanospirillales; Oceanospirillaceae.
GUUAGUCUUCGCGCCUCAGGUGCCUGCUCUGGCAGGGUAAACGGGAAGCUUGGUGUGAUUCCAGCGCUGCCCCCGCAACGGUAAGUGAUGACAGCAACGGCCAAGACCACUGUGCAAGCGCAUGGGAAGGGGCCUGAGCGGAGCCAUACUCGCAUCACCAGCCCGGAUACCGGCCUGUUCCAUCAAACCAGC